GGCCGCCGGUCCUACACGGAGGGCACUGCGAGCGACCGCCUACCUCCCGGUCAGAGCCCGCGAACAGCCUGAUUGCUACACCUGAAAAGCGGAAGGUCGGCAGUUCGACCCUGCCCCUGACCACCA
RNAcentral lists this transfer RNA (126 nucleotides) under Nonomuraea africana. RNAcentral describes it as "tRNA-OTHER". Lineage: Bacteria; Bacillati; Actinomycetota; Actinomycetes; Streptosporangiales; Streptosporangiaceae. The record is from RNAcentral.